UCCAUAAUAAUAAAUAUAAACUAAAUACCCUAAACAAAACAAUAACACUUGAACUUGUGCUCCUGCCGUCGAACGAGUAUAUAGCAUCAAAGCAAUUUUAAUCAUCACUUUGUCAAGCAAUUUUUGGUAUUUUAAGGAGUGAUCAUCAACUUUGGUGAUUCUAGCGACCUUGUUGGACUUUGCAUAACUACUUGAUUGUUGAGGUAAUAAUAAUGCUUAAGGAGACUGAGCAUAUGGGCUUUAGGAAGACCAAUAAAGAGAUCAUUCAUGGACUCCUUGCUACAUUUCUUUUGUUAUUUGAGCCGUGUUGCCUAGACUUAUCCCGCUAGUGGGAAUCACAAAUAUUUGGAUUUCAUUUAGUAUGACUCUAUUAUAAA
Long non-coding RNA from Erigeron canadensis, 377 nucleotides. RefSeq lists it as uncharacterized. NCBI's taxonomy places the organism in Eukaryota, Viridiplantae, Streptophyta, Magnoliopsida, Asterales, Asteraceae. The record is from RefSeq and is a predicted model, not a curated record. The transcript has 4 exons.